ACGCUCGACACCUACUGGAGGCAGCAGUAGGGAAUAUUGGGCAAUGGGGGAAACCCUGACCCAGCAACGCCGCGUGAGGGAAGAAGGUUUUCGGAUUGUAAACCUCUGUCCUAUGGGACGAAGGAAGUGACGGUACCAUAGGAGGAAGCUCCGGCUAACUACGUGCAGCAGCCGCGGUAAUCUGAGCGGGCUGGCAAGGC
Molecule: ribosomal RNA, 200 nt
Filed under: uncultured bacterium
Lineage: Bacteria
Description: partial 16S ribosomal RNA
Rfam family: Bacterial small subunit ribosomal RNA
Source: RNAcentral